UGGGUUUAAUUCGAUGAUACGCGAGGAACCGUUACCUGGGCUCAAAUGUAUGUUGACGUAAUUCUGAAAGGGAUACUUCUUCGGACAAUUAUACAAGGUGCUGCAUGGUUGUCGUCAGCUCGUGCCGUGAGGUGUCGGGUUAAGUCCCAUAACGAGCGCAACCCCUACCUUUAGUUGCCAUCAGGUUAAGCUGGGGACUCUAAAGGAACUGCCUACGCAAGUAGUGAGGAAGGCGGGGAUGACGUCAAAUCAGCACGGCCCUUACGUCCAGGGCUACACACGUGCUACAAUGGCCGAUACAGAGGGCAGCUACCUGGUGACAGGAUGCAAAUCUCCAAAGUCGGUCUCAGUUCGGAUCGGAGUCUGCAACCCGACUCCGUGAAGUUGGAUUCGCUAGUAAUCGCGCAUCAGCCAUGGCGCGGUGAAUACGUUCCCGGGCCUU
RNAcentral lists this ribosomal RNA (442 nucleotides) under uncultured Sphingobacteriales bacterium. Its description in RNAcentral is "bacterial SSU rRNA". It matches the Rfam family "Bacterial small subunit ribosomal RNA", at positions 942 to 1382 of the family's 1533-position model. Lineage: Bacteria; Pseudomonadati; Bacteroidota; Sphingobacteriia; Sphingobacteriales. The record is from RNAcentral.